GUUGGUGAACCAGCGGAGGGAUCAUUACAGGGUCUAACGACUGCCCAAACCCAACCGUGAACUACUCCUUCAAACAUAUGCUUCGGCGGGCCGCUCGCUGGGGGAGCCCCGGGCCGCUUCGGCGGUGACCCGCCGCAGGCAUCAAACCAAACCUUUUCCGAGACUGCUCUGAGAAAUACUUUCUAAAUGAAAAUAAUCACAACUCAUAACAAUGGAUCUCUUGGCUCUG
Molecule: unclassified non-coding RNA, 229 nt
Filed under: rhizosphere metagenome
Description: partial ribosomal RNA internal transcribed spacer region
Source: RNAcentral